This 420-nucleotide ribosomal RNA is filed under the name uncultured microorganism. Its description in RNAcentral is "bacterial SSU rRNA". It matches the Rfam family "Bacterial small subunit ribosomal RNA", at positions 9 to 431 of the family's 1533-position model. The record is from RNAcentral.
GAGUUUGAUCAUGGCUCAGAUUGAACGCUAGCGGGAUGCCUUACACAUGCAAGUCGAACGGCAGCACGGACUUCGGUCUGGUGGCGAGUGGCGAACGGGUGAGUAAUGUAUCGGAACGUGCCUAGUAGCGGGGGGAUAACUACGCGAAAGCGUAGCUAAUACCGCAUACGCCCUACGGGGAAAGCAGGGGAUCGCAAGACCUUGCACUAUUAGAGCGGCCGGAUAUCGGAUUAGCUAGUUGGUGGGGUAACGGCUCACCAAGGCGACGAUCCGUAGCUGGUUUGAGAGGACGACCAGCCACACUGGGACUGAGACACGGCCCAGACUCCUACGGGAGGCGAGCAGUGGGGAAUUUUGGACAAUGGGGGAAACCCUGAUCCAGCCAUCCCGCGUGUGCGAUGAAGGCCUCGGUUCGUAAGU